GUUUUAAUCUAAUAGUUUUAUUGAAAUAAAAAAAAAAUGUGUGUUGUACAAAUCAAAGAGUAUACUUCAAGAGUUAUCAUUGCCCACAUUCAAUAUAGUAUUCAUUUAUAUUUUGACAUAAGCUUUAACUAACAAAAAGAUAUUUUAGAUUCCAAUACAAUUCAAUAAACUCUGACAGUGAUUCAUACACAGUGCAAGCAAAGGCAUGGGAGGGGGGGGGGGAUAAGGCAACUCUAUAUCAAGCAACUACAAUGUGUAUAUCGACAGGAUUAAAUAAACAAUGAAUAAAAAUAACGAGAAAUUUGUACUAGUGAAAAAAUGAUUUGAAACAACUUUAUGCCAAAUACAAGGGAUACUAGUGAGACAGUUAACAAUUUAAAGAGAUGAUAACAAUUUAAGUGAGUAACAAGAUAAACUUCAGCUGCAAUUAUCAAGGGUUUGUACAAUACUAAGAAUCUGAAGUAAGUAAAUUUCUUUAAGUCUAUAGCCCCAGUUUUCACAGCAUAGAGUUUACAAGGAUGUUAUGUCAUGAGUACAGUGAUAAGAGAAAUAGACAGUAAAAAUGUCAAUUCCAGCCUGACUAACUAAAGCCACCAAAACCCUUAUAAUAAAGUAACCUUUUACAGUCAAUGACUGAUCCAGUUAUUUUAGAAAGUCAUUAGCAACCAGGGUACAUGUCCAUUACUCAUGGUGAAUAAAUUCUAUUUUAUAGUGCAAUUGGAAUAUACGAACAUGUACAGUCAUUAAUGUAUGUUUUUUUUUAAUGAUGAAUCAUAACUUACAUUGUGGCAAGGAAAAUUUUGUAACAGAACUAUCAUACUGAGGAAUGAAGGGUACAAAUAAUUAAAGACAAGUUUGUGAGAUGUUAUAGACUAAACCAAUGAGCUCUUUCCCCCUUAAGGCUGGGCACAUAACACAUUCGACAUUCUGUCAAGUGCAUGAAGAAGUGUGUCAGACCAACAUCACCAGCCCGUAGUUUUAUUUACAAACAGAUAAGCAUGUAGUCAAUAUCUUUCAUAAAAUUAGGUAAUCAACAACAUUCAUCAAGCUUUUUUUUUUUUUUUUUUUUUUUCUU
This is a non-coding RNA of Biomphalaria pfeifferi, 1075 nucleotides long. The record is from the annotation of a GenBank genome assembly. Lineage: Eukaryota; Metazoa; Mollusca; Gastropoda; Planorbidae.